GUGAAUUGCAGAAUUCAGUGAAUCAUCGAAUCUUUGAACGCACAUUGCGCCCCUUGGUAUUCCAUGGGGCAUGCCUGUUCGAGCGUC
This 87-nucleotide ribosomal RNA is filed under the name Chloropicon mariensis. Its description in RNAcentral is "partial 5.8S ribosomal RNA". It matches the Rfam family "5.8S ribosomal RNA", at positions 67 to 153 of the family's 154-position model. Rfam says of the family: 5.8S ribosomal RNA (5.8S rRNA) is a component of the large subunit of the eukaryotic ribosome. It is transcribed by RNA polymerase I as part of the 45S precursor that also contains 18S and 28S rRNA. Functionally, it is thought that 5.8S rRNA may be involved in ribosome translocation. Lineage: Eukaryota; Viridiplantae; Chlorophyta; Chloropicophyceae; Chloropicales; Chloropicaceae. The record is from RNAcentral.